This 99-nucleotide transfer RNA is filed under the name Acidobacteriota bacterium. RNAcentral's name for it is "Acidobacteria bacterium tRNA-Sec". It matches the Rfam family "Selenocysteine transfer RNA". The record is from RNAcentral. Lineage: Bacteria; Pseudomonadati; Acidobacteriota. RNAcentral also lists the same sequence under 2 other names.
GGAGGCGCACCCGUUCUGGUGAGCGGCGCGGUCUUCAAAACCGUCAGCGCGCCUGUGAGAGCAGGCGCGGGUGGGUUCGAUUCCCACACGCCUCCGCCA